AUGAGCAGGCCACCAUGGAAGGAUACAUUAGUUGGUGAAUCUGAGUAUGUCGAUGAUCACAGGUCUAGUAUGACAGUUGUGAAGCUGAAUGGAAGAUUGAACAAGUGUGGUGUCAUCAGUCCAUGCUUGGACCUUGGAGAUCGAGUCCUGGAGUGCAAGGCUGCUCCCCUUACCUCAGCCGCAUGUCAGUUCGCCCUCGCCCGAGUCCCGGGAUGGAGGGAGUAG
Molecule: ribosomal RNA, 225 nt
Filed under: Triticum aestivum (bread wheat)
Lineage: Eukaryota; Viridiplantae; Streptophyta; Magnoliopsida; Poales; Poaceae
Description: partial small subunit ribosomal RNA
Source: RNAcentral